UUCCGGUUGAUCCUGCCGGACCCGACUGCUAUCAGAGUGAGAUUAAGCCAUGCGAGUUAACGUAGCAAUACGUGGCGCACGGCUCAGUAACACGUAGUCAACAUGCUCAGAGGACGUGGAUAACCUCGGGAAACUGAGUCUAAACCGCGAUAAGUGAGGAUUUCUGGAAUGGUUCCUGACUAAAAUCUAUAUGGCCUCUGGAUUGGACUGCGGCCGAUCAGGCUGUUGGUGAGGUAAUGGCCCACCAAACCUGUAACCGGUACGGGCUCUGAGAGGAGGAGCCCGGAGAUGGGCACUGAGACAAGGGCCCAGGCCCUAUGGGGCGCAGCAGGCGCGAAACCUCUGCAAUAGGCGAAAGCCUGACAGGGUUACUCUGAGUGACUUUCGCUAAGAAAGUCUUUUGGCACCUCUAAAAAGGGUGCAGAAUAAGGGGUGGGCAAGUCUGGUGUCAGCCGCCGCGGUAAUACCAGCACCCCGAGUGGUCGGGACGAUUAUUGGGCCUAAAGCAUCCGUAGCCGGUUCUGCAAGUCCCCCGUUAAAUCCAGCUGCUCAACAGAUGGGCCGCGGAGGAUACUACAGAGCUAGGAGGCAGGAGAGGCAAGCGAUACUCAGUGGGUAGGGGUAAAAUCCGUUGAUCCAUUGAAGACCACCAGUGGCGAAGGCGGCUUGCCAGAAUGCGCUCGACGGUGAGGGAUGAAAGCUGGGGGAGCAAACCGGAUUAGAUACCCGGGUAGUCCCAG
RNAcentral lists this ribosomal RNA (740 nucleotides) under uncultured archaeon. RNAcentral describes it as "bacterial SSU rRNA". It matches the Rfam family "Archaeal small subunit ribosomal RNA", at positions 1 to 750 of the family's 1478-position model. The record is from RNAcentral.